RNAcentral lists this ribosomal RNA (2206 nucleotides) under Klebsiella pneumoniae BIDMC 41. Its description in RNAcentral is "bacterial LSU rRNA". It matches the Rfam family "Bacterial large subunit ribosomal RNA", at positions 1 to 2236 of the family's 2925-position model. The record is from RNAcentral. Lineage: Bacteria; Pseudomonadati; Pseudomonadota; Gammaproteobacteria; Enterobacterales; Enterobacteriaceae.
UUAAGCGACUAAGCGUACACGGUGGAUGCCCUGGCAGUCAGAGGCGAUGAAGGACGUGCUAAUCUGCGAAAAGCGUCGGUAAGGUGAUAUGAACCGUUACAGCCGGCGAUGUCCGAAUGGGGAAACCCAGUGUGAUUCGUCACACUAUCGUUAACUGAAUACAUAGGUUAACGAGGCGAACCGGGGGAACUGAAACAUCUAAGUACCCCGAGGAAAAGAAAUCAACCGAGAUUCCCCCAGUAGCGGCGAGCGAACGGGGAGCAGCCCAGAGUCUGAAUCAGCUUGUGUGUUAGUGGAACGGUCUGGAAAGUCCGACGGUACAGGGUGAUAGUCCCGUACACCAAAAUGCACAGGCUGUGAACUCGAAGAGUAGGGCGGGACACGUGGUAUCCUGUCUGAAUAUGGGGGGACCAUCCUCCAAGGCUAAAUACUCCUGACUGACCGAUAGUGAACCAGUACCGUGAGGGAAAGGCGAAAAGAACCCCGGCGAGGGGAGUGAAAAAGAACCUGAAACCGUGUACGUACAAGCAGUGGGAGCACCUUCGGGUGUGACUGCGUACCUUUUGUAUAAUGGGUCAGCGACUUAUAUUCUGUAGCAAGGUUAACCGUAUAGGGGAGCCGCAGGGAAACCGAGUCUUAACUGGGCGUUAAGUUGCAGGGUAUAGACCCGAAACCCGGUGAUCUAGCCAUGGGCAGGUUGAAGGUUGGGUAACACUAACUGGAGGACCGAACCGACUAAUGUUGAAAAAUUAGCGGAUGACUUGUGGCUGGGGGUGAAAGGCCAAUCAAACCGGGAGAUAGCUGGUUCUCCCCGAAAGCUAUUUAGGUAGCGCCUCGUGAAUUCAUCUUCGGGGGUAGAGCACUGUUUCGGCUAGGGGGUCAUCCCGACUUACCAACCCGAUGCAAACUACGAAUACCGAAGAAUGUUAUCACGGGAGACACACGGCGGGUGCUAACGUCCGUCGUGAAGAGGGAAACAACCCAGACCGCCAGCUAAGGUCCCAAAGUCAUGGUUAAGUGGGAAACGAUGUGGGAAGGCACAGACAGCCAGGAUGUUGGCUUAGAAGCAGCCAUCAUUUAAAGAAAGCGUAAUAGCUCACUGGUCGAGUCGGCCUGCGCGGAAGAUGUAACGGGGCUAAACCAUGCACCGAAGCUGCGGCAGCGACACUAUGUGUUGUUGGGUAGGGGAGCGUUCUGUAAGCCUGCGAAGGUGUGCUGUGAGGCAUGCUGGAGGUAUCAGAAGUGCGAAUGCUGACAUAAGUAACGAUAAAGCGGGUGAAAAGCCCGCUCGCCGGAAGACCAAGGGUUCCUGUCCAACGUUAAUCGGGGCAGGGUGAGUCGACCCCUAAGGCGAGGCCGAAAGGCGUAGUCGAUGGGAAACAGGUUAAUAUUCCUGUACUUGGUGUUACUGCGAAGGGGGGACGGAGAAGGCUAUGUUAGCCGGGCGACGGUUGUCCCGGUUUAAGCAUGUAGGCUGAUUGUCCAGGCAAAUCCGGAUAAUCAAGGCUGAGGUGUGAUGACGAGGCACUACGGUGCUGAAGUAACAAAUGCCCUGCUUCCAGGAAAAGCCUCUAAGCAUCAGGUAACAUUAAAUCGUACCCCAAACCGACACAGGUGGUCAGGUAGAGAAUACCAAGGCGCUUGAGAGAACUCGGGUGAAGGAACUAGGCAAAAUGGUGCCGUAACUUCGGGAGAAGGCACGCUGGUGUGUAGGUGAAGCCCCUGCGGGUGGAGCUGAGACCAGUCGAAGAUACCAGCUGGCUGCAACUGUUUAUUAAAAACACAGCACUGUGCAAACACGAAAGUGGACGUAUACGGUGUGACGCCUGCCCGGUGCCGGAAGGUUAAUUGAUGGGGUUAUCCGUAAGGAGAAGCUCUUGAUCGAAGCCCCGGUAAACGGCGGCCGUAACUAUAACGGUCCUAAGGUAGCGAAAUUCCUUGUCGGGUAAGUUCCGACCUGCACGAAUGGCGUAAUGAUGGCCAGGCUGUCUCCACCCGAGACUCAGUGAAAUUGAACUCGCUGUGAAGAUGCAGUGUACCCGCGGCAAGACGGAAAGACCCCGUGAACCUUUACUAUAGCUUGACACUGAACAUUGAGCCUUGAUGUGUAGGAUAGGUGGGAGGCUUUGAAGCGUGGACGCCAGUCUGCGUGGAGCCAACCUUGAAAUACCACCCUUUAAUGUUUGAUGUUCUAACGUUGGCCCCU